This 2494-nucleotide long non-coding RNA is filed under the name Setaria viridis. Its description in RNAcentral is "long non-coding RNA (SVIR_LNC001935)". Lineage: Eukaryota; Viridiplantae; Streptophyta; Magnoliopsida; Poales; Poaceae. The record is from RNAcentral.
AAGGUAGACGAGUAGAACUUUACCUGUCAGUCACCUAGCGACAGCACAAAACAAAGAGGAAGGAGGCAGUGAGGCAAAAGAGCCCAGGAAAUCAAGAAAGCUCGUGCAAGCCAUGGCGGGAGUUGCGUCCCUCAACGCCCUCGCUCUCCGCGCACCUUCCCCAUCACCCGCGGCCCCGUCCCCGCGCCGCGGCACCGUCGCCGGUGCCCUCGCGUUCCCGACACCGCCGCGCUUCCCGUUGCUGCGUGCCGCGCGCCGCGUCCUGGCGCGUGCGGUGGCGGCGGGCGGGGACUCCGAAGACGAGUGGGGGCCGGAGCCUGAGGGUGGGUCCGCGGUCACGGGGACGGCGGUGGCCGAGGCGUCCGACCCGGAGGCGAGCGAGGUGGCAGAGCUCAAGGCGCAGCUCAAGGAGGCGCUGUACGGCACAGAGCGGGGUCUUCGCGCGUCCAGCGAGACGCGGGCCGAGGUGGUCGAACUCAUCACGCAGCUCGAGGCGCGCAACCCCACGCCGGCGCCCACCGAGGCGCUAACGCUCCUCAACGGCAAGUGGAUCCUCGCGUAAGAAACCGCCUUCUGAUCCCGUUCUCCUUUUCUUUCCCCCCUCAGCAGCUACUGCUUUCUUUUGCGGUCGCCGGUUGCUCAAAUUUAUCUUAUGUCUUCUGAACGUAUACUACUAGAAGCGGCUAAUUUUGAUUCACAAUUUGAUAAGCGAGUUACGCAUUCGCAUUUGCAUUGGGUGCUAAUCUAUGAAUCACUUGAUCAAUACUGAAAACUGCAUACAUAGUUGAGAGGUACCUUUUACAUCUGAGAUUGAGAUUGGCUGAUGAAAAUUUGUUUAGAAACUUCUGCCAAUUGUGUGGUUCAGUAAUCAGGGGCGAAGCCAGAUGAAAAUGGUGCCGGGGUCAUCCCUAUUGCAUGCUGGGGUCUUUUCCUUUGAAGAACAGCUGAACAGUUAUUCUCAUUGGUUUUGGAGAAAUUCAUCAGGGUCAGCUGACCCCGAUGACAAAGCCUAGCUCCGCCCCUGUCAGUAAUAAAUUUCGCUUUUGUGGUUAACUAGGCCAAUUCACUAGGUGGGCACGACCGAUUUGCUGCCAUUGCAAUUGCCACCAUCCCUUAUUUGUCACUGCCCAGUGACAUAGAUGAGUCCCAUGCGUCAUUGAUACAUUGACAGCAAACAAGGGAUGGCAGAAUUUUGCAAUGGCGAGUAAGGGAUCGCCUCUAUUUUUUUUUUGAGAUUACAGAACACACUUGCCUAAGCCCUGUUCAAGUCCACGGAUUAUGUUUUAUUGGGUGGUUGCAGGAACCUGUUUUUGCCAUUGCUAUCUGUCACUUACGAUACUUUUUUGGGGUAAUAGGGCUUGAAUAUUGAAUUGCGAUUUUUGGUAGUUGGGUAAUCACAUUGAUCCACAGGUAACCUUUUUUUCUGAUCAUCACAUCUUAAACAUGGAUAUCUGGAAUCAACUGUAAGAGGACAUGGAUAUGCUGUUGACAAACCAUGAGAGGACAUGGAUGUGCCAGUUAUGAUGGCUUCACUGCUUUGAUAACUGAACUGCAGUCAACAUCAUGAUUAAACAUAGUUCUGACUUCUGAAACUGACUAAUUGGAAUUUUGAGGAAGUUCAUUGAAGUGAAACUCUUUUUGAAUGAAACUGCAGCAGCUGUAAGAGAUUUAGGAGUCUGAUUAACCACGUGAUUUCAGGUACACAUCAUUUUCUCAACUAUUCCCUCUGCUGGGGUCCGGAAGGCUACCUGAGCUUGUAAAGGUGGAGGAGAUAUCACAGACUAUUGAUUCGGAGACUUUCACAGUGCAAAACUGCAUCAAGUUUUCAGGACCAUUGGCUACAACCUCAGUUUCCACCAAUGCUAAAUUUGAAAUUAGAAGCCCCAAGCGUGUGCAGGUGAAGUUCUGUCAUCCUCAUCCAAGUAGCCAUUUUUCACCUAUGAUUGAAUGCAUUUUAUCGGCCUUCUUGAACCACAUGUGGCACUUGUAGGACAGAACCUUGAGUGAAUUUGGCUAGAUGUUAUUAACAAAUUCAUAUGGUUCUCAAUCUAUCCAGAUCAAAUUUGAUGAAGGUGUUAUCGGAACCCCACAACUGACCGACUCCAUUGUGCUACCUGAGAAGUUUGAGUUCUUUGGACAGAACAUCGACCUGAGCCCAUUGAAAGGCAUAUUUUCUUCCAUCGAAAAUGCAGCGUCCUCGGUUGCAAAUACCAUCUCUGGUCAGCCACCACUGAAGAUACCGAUUACAACCAACAAUGCUGAGUCCUGGCUGCUCACAACCUACCUUGACGAAGAGCUCAGGAUCUCUAGAGGCGACGGUAGCAGCAUCUUUGUGCUGUUCAAGGAGGGAAGCUCCCUUCUAAACUAGGAUCCACAUCCUGGGUAUAGGAUUCGAUGUUGGAGGGCGAACCUUGGAAGCAUUAUGCUGACCAUGGUUCCUUUUUCUUGAUUUGUGUUUAUAGUAUAUUUGUCGGCUGUUUGCUCUAGAAUUGGU